The sequence is a transfer RNA, 72 nucleotides long. It matches the Rfam family "tRNA". Rfam says of the family: Transfer RNA (tRNA) molecules are approximately 80 nucleotides in length. The record is from Rfam.
GCCGAUCUAGUAUAGUGGUUAGUACACUUCGUUGUGGCCGAAGAAACCCAAGUUCGAUUCCUGGGAUCGGCA